CUGUGUUAGGCACAGUGGUGUCGUGAUGCUGGAAGAGUAACAAUAACUCAGCCAACCAGGGCCUGUCUGAAUACAAUCCUACAGCAGCAGGAGCUGUGGAGAUACAGAAGCCAAGGAAGACCAGAUGGUGAGGGAAGAUGAAUUUACUCCCAGGAAUGUUGUGAUUGAGAGUAAUAUCCUCCAAUAAUGAUGGAAGACAGAACAGUAAAAGCCCACCAGUUCAUUCUGCAUGUGUAUUUUAGCAGGUGUGUCGUUCUACAUGGUUAGUUUCUUUACCUCUUUGGAAAAAAAAUGGGUCAACUUGACACAUCUGGAUGAAAGAAAUCCAUCAGAUUGUAAAUCCUAAGGGUGUUAGCUGCUUAAAUUUGUGAAGACAUGUCUCCAAGUGAUCAGCUUCCUAAUUAUGAGUGAUACAUCUGCUCAGGCAAGUACCUAGACAAAGAAUAACUAGAUUAAUUCCUCAGGAGUCUUUUUAUUUCCUCCCACCUCACUUGUUAACUAUAUAGAGAGAUGGUAAUAGGCAUAGGGAAAAAUACAUCUGUUACCAGGAAAAAGUGUUUGGGAGUCUUAAACCCAUGGAAUUCUCUGCCUGUAAACUCUAAUUGAGUAUUUUUGUCUGGAGGGUUGGCCUUUAAUUUUUUUCCUGUGUUUUAAGGUGAUAUCCUUUUCAAAACGUGGUCCUGAUUUAUAGAUUCAGCAGUGUUUAAAUUGGCCAGAAAGAUAGUGUGAGAAAUGGAUGUACUAUAACUCAUUUGUUUUCUGUUGGUCUUCCUUUUUCAUUGCUGUCAUGGUACAUCACUGAGGCAAGUCUAGUUUCUUUGGCUAACCUCUGAAUAAAGGGCACUGUGGCUACUGAAGGGGAGCAUGCAGAAGUGAUGAAUGAAUGACAGAAAAAAUGUGAGUUGAGUCCAUUCAGGGUGGUGAUUUGUGGCCAUAUGAUAAAAUGUGCAGAUGUUAAUUGCUCUUCUAUUUCUCACGCAUGAUUACCUUGUUGCUGUACACCGCCUGUGUGUGCCUGCAGAAAGUACAUAAUAGAUGUUGCAGAUAGGAGGCACCAAGAGGGUGUAGUGUGAGAACACAGGCACUGGGAGUGGGCAAGUGACAGAUCAGAGCAAGAGGAGGUGGCAAGCCUGGGCAGAGGAAAAGAACAAUAUUCAGGCUAGGAGGGCAGGCA
RNAcentral lists this long non-coding RNA (1174 nucleotides) under Macaca mulatta (Rhesus monkey). RNAcentral's name for it is "lncRNA (ENSMMUG00000059753.1)". Lineage: Eukaryota; Metazoa; Chordata; Mammalia; Primates; Cercopithecidae. The record is from RNAcentral.